AGCGAACGCUGGCGGCAGGCUUAACACAUGCAAGUCGAGCGGUCACUUUCGGGUGUCAGCGGCGGACGGGUGAGUAACGCGUGGGAACGUGCCCUCUGGUUCGGAAUAACUCAGGGAAACUUGAGCUAAUACCGGAUACGCCCUUUUGGGGAAAGGCUUGCUGCCGGAGGAUCGGCCCGCGUCUGAUUAGCUAGUUGGUGAGGUAACGGCUCACCAAGGCGACGAUCAGUAGCUGGUCUGAGAGGAUGAUCAGCCACACUGGGACUGAGACACGGCCCAGACUCCUACGGGAGGCAGCAGUGGGGAAUAUUGGACAAUGGGCGCAAGCCUGAUCCAGCCAUGCCGCGUGAGUGAUGAAGGCCUUAGGGUUGUAAAGCUCUUUUAUCCGGGACGAUAAUGACGGUACCGGAGGAAUAAGCCCCGGCUAACUUCGUG
Molecule: ribosomal RNA, 435 nt
Filed under: uncultured bacterium
Lineage: Bacteria
Description: partial 16S ribosomal RNA
Rfam family: Bacterial small subunit ribosomal RNA
Source: RNAcentral